CUGGCACCCUAUCUCCUCAACACUGC
Molecule: non-coding RNA, 26 nt
Filed under: Rattus norvegicus (Norway rat)
Lineage: Eukaryota; Metazoa; Chordata; Mammalia; Rodentia; Muridae
Source: RNAcentral